Molecule: long non-coding RNA, 1750 nt
Organism: Acipenser ruthenus (sterlet)
Lineage: Eukaryota; Metazoa; Chordata; Actinopteri; Acipenseriformes; Acipenseridae
Exons: 3
Source: RefSeq, a predicted model, not a curated record
GUGGGGUUGGCAUUGCAGGCGAGAUGAAGGAUUAGUGACAGCAUGUACCACUCGCUCAUCUACGCUACCAUUGUGGAAAUGCAAGCCAUGAUGACAUUUGAGCAUGAUGACAUCAUUAACGCAGGCAGCACCAUGAAGGGGGCCCAGGCGGUGUGUCAGAGGUUUCGGAAGAAGUUGACGGUGGUUGGCAAGAUGUCCAAACCCACUGGAGAGGGUUUCACAGAAGUUUCUUAAAAGUGAAAUAAAAAAGGUUAUCAGCACCACUCUAUAAAAGAUGACCAGAAUAAAAUCUUUCAGGAGAUGCUGUGGUUCAUAAAUACACAGUAGAAGCUGUCAUAUCUGAUCCUGUAAGAUACCAUGGCCUGUAUUACACAUCCUGUAUCAUUCACACAUGCAGCUACCUACUGAACCAUACUGAUGGAAACUGAUCAAUGCAUAUUUUAUUAUGGGUCUGAAAUACGAACAGAGCUCCAGACUCAGGUGAGACUGCCUUAUGCUGCAAUGAAAUCAGUUCACAUUUACCAGGGGUCUGAUUGUUCAGACUCCUAGCUCCCAGUCUUUUCAAUAAUAUAUCUGAACAAGGGCAGUUCUGAAAUCCAGCAAAUUCAAGUGUGAUUAUUGGAGAUAGUGUGGGUUGCUUGUAGUUACCAUGGUGUGUGUGCGUGUGUGUGUGUUUAAAUGCAAAGUUAUAAUAUUGGACACAUUUCAUAGCAUUCAAAGUUUGAAGACUUUUUUAUUUAUUUUUUAAUAGAUUUCAAACUUCCAUAUGCAUAUCGGUAGUAAAGAAGCAUUUCCAAUACCUUAUUGCUAGUUACUGAUUUUGACUUUGGUUCAAAAGUAUAAAGCAUAGCAAUGGUAAAAAAGAAUGUACAUUUCCCAGAAUGUUCAACAUUGUAUUUAUUUGUACUUGGCUACAAAGUUCCAUAUGCAUAUCAACUGUAAAGUGAAUGACAUGAACAUGUCAAUGCUAGAUAUGAUGUUUUUUUUUGUCUUCUAAUCUUCUGAUUUUCUCAACUUGGUCCAAUGUACUCCAAUCGUAAAGCAUUAGAUCUGUUCAUAAAAGGCGAUGUACAUGUCCUUUGCAUUUCUUGGCCACGGUUUGAAUUCAAUAAGUGUGUCAUUUGCAUGCACUCACUUUGUAGUGCCAGGCACUGAGAGGACACACAAGUAAUGUCCUGAAGCGACAUCUCCUCCUUUUGUGUAUAAUUUGUAAUUGCAGUUGUCCACAUUAAUUUUACUCUUGUGCACACCAGUAAACAUCACAUCUUGUCGCUUUGUAAUAUUCCCAUUUGGUUCGGUUUGCCAAAGCAUAAGCUGGACUGCAAGCAUUCUUUCUGCUGACUGAAGGACUUUGCAUUUUAUUAGUGUGAAUUGUUGGCAGUGGUCACACCUGCCACCAUCAAUGGGUGCCCACUUGUGCUCCAUAUUAAUUAGUUGUUCCAAACACAUGGAAUGUGUACCAUCAAGUACAUGCAACGAGUAAACAUGCCCCACCUCUUGAUUUGAUAUGCGGUACUCACAUUGUGUACAUAGUAUGUCUUGCCGUAUGGUUACUGAAAGCCCAUCAGAUAUUUGUGGGCAAGUUUGACACAAUUUGGUGAGAAACUCAACAACAUCUUGCUGCUGAACUCUAUUGAAGGGUUCUAAGAAUUGACAAAUGUCCACAGUACUGAGAGAUGUAGUGGAUGGCAAGUGAUCAUAGUUGGUAACAAAAGUCCUGAGGGCUUGUUGUUCACUCUGCUUUAAUGAC